CAAUAGCGUAUAUUAAAGUUGUUGCGGUAAAAAAGCUCGUAGUUGGAUUUCUACCGAAGAUAGCCGGUCGGGUCUUCGACCUUGUAUCUGGUUUUGUCUUUGGUAUCCUCAUAGGGAACGUUUCUGCGCUUUAUUGCGUGGUGCGGUAUCUAUGACUUUUACUUUGAGGAAAUUAGAGUGUUCACGGCAGGCAAACGCCUUGAAUAUAUUAGCAUGGAAUAAUAACAUAGGAUCUUCGUCCUAUUUUGUUGGUUUCUAGGGCUAAGAUAAUGAUUAAUGGGGAUAAUUGGGGGCAUCUGUAUCAACGCGUCAGAGGUGGAAUUCUUGGAUUGCGUUGCGACAAACUACUGCGAAAGCAUUUGCCAAGGAUGUUUUCAUUGA
This 381-nucleotide ribosomal RNA is filed under the name uncultured eukaryote. RNAcentral's name for it is "partial 18S ribosomal RNA". It matches the Rfam family "Eukaryotic small subunit ribosomal RNA", at positions 592 to 976 of the family's 1831-position model. The record is from RNAcentral.